GACGGGUUGAGAGAGCCUAAUACAACACCCAGUAAUGGGAAAUAAGCUCCGCUGUCUUUGAGCAGUAGUUGAAACCUGUCGCUCUAUG
Molecule: non-coding RNA, 88 nt
Filed under: Moraxella nonliquefaciens
Lineage: Bacteria; Pseudomonadati; Pseudomonadota; Gammaproteobacteria; Moraxellales; Moraxellaceae
Description: sRNA-Xcc1
Rfam family: sRNA-Xcc1
Source: Rfam by way of RNAcentral